CUCUCUCUCCACACCUGCCCGCAAGCUGAAGGAGCCAGCUCCAGUCUCAGCCAGCCCAGGAAGCGGCUCCCACAGUGCAGCGGCGGGCUGAAGCGCUCCUCAAGUGCCGCCAAAGUGGGAGCCCAGGCAGAGGAGGCGCCGAGAGCGGGCGAGGGCCGCAAGGGCUGCCAGCAUGCUGUCAUCUCUCAAGAGCUCCCUCAGAGGCCUAUGUAAGGCCCUACCUCCUUCUGAAAAUACAUUUCUUAAGUACUGUACUAUGAAGCAAAUACUACAUGAAGACUAAACAACGGUUAUAUUAAUAUGAUUCUGAAAUCAGGUGAAGUUACUAACCAAGAAUGAAAUAAACCUACCAGAAAUAAAAAAUAGUGCAAAAAAUCUUUUAAGAAACUUGGUUAAAUAAUAUUAUUUUAAGGAAAACAGGCACAGUUGUAAAGCUUCAGCAAUGUUUUAAAAAAGUGUUAACAUUUCUUUAUUGUCUCUUUAUUAUUUCUCCCACUGUUUGCACCUCAGCCUCCUUAAAAGUAGCAAUUCUAUCUAGGCUUUAAUUUGCUGUAUACAGAUAAAUAUAUAUGAUUAACAACAAUAUUAUUGGGCUAGAAUAACCCCUGUUUUCUCUUUAAUCUAAAAAUCCACUGACUGACGUGAACAAUAGCAACAGAGAAAAAUCAGUUGGCCUAUGAACCUUUGCAACCAGGAUCUGCAUUGUGAAUGCUGUGUAGUGUGUGUCAUUU
Molecule: long non-coding RNA, 731 nt
Filed under: Homo sapiens (human)
Lineage: Eukaryota; Metazoa; Chordata; Mammalia; Primates; Hominidae
Description: non-protein coding lnc-NABP1-18:1
Source: RNAcentral